RNAcentral lists this ribosomal RNA (446 nucleotides) under uncultured bacterium. Its description in RNAcentral is "bacterial SSU rRNA". It matches the Rfam family "Bacterial small subunit ribosomal RNA", at positions 354 to 796 of the family's 1533-position model. The record is from RNAcentral.
GUGAGGAAUAUUGCGCAAUGGACGAAAGUCUGACGCAGCCAUGCCGCGUGAAGGAUUGACGGCCCUAUGGGUUGUAAACUUCUUUUGUAUAGGAAUAAACCCUCGUUCGUGAACGAGGCUGAAGGUACUAUAAGAAUAAGCACCGGCUAACUCCGUGCCAGCAGCCGCGGUAAUACGGAGGGUGCAAGCGUUAUCCGGAUUUAUUGGGUUUAAAGGGUCCGUAGGCGGAUCGUUAAGUCAGUGGUGAAAUCCUACCGCUCAACGGUAGAACUGCCAUUGAUACUGGCGAUCUUGAGUAUGUAUGAAGUUGGCGGAAUGUGUGGUGUAGCGGUGAAAUGCUUAGAUAUCACACAGAACACCGAUUGCGAAGGCAGCUGACUAAUACACAACUGACGCUGAGGGACGAAAGUGUGGGGAUCAAACAGGAUUAGAUACCCUAGUAGUCC